Entelurus aequoreus (snake pipefish) is the source of this 222-nucleotide long non-coding RNA. RefSeq lists it as uncharacterized. NCBI's taxonomy places the organism in Eukaryota, Metazoa, Chordata, Actinopteri, Syngnathiformes, Syngnathidae. The record is from RefSeq and is a predicted model, not a curated record. The transcript has 4 exons.
AGAAAAUAAGCCAUCACGGGGCCAAAGAAAGUUGCAAGUGCCAGGUUGAUAAAGAAGAAAAUAAGCCAUCAUGGGACCAAAGAAAGUUGCAAGUGCCAGGUUGAUAAAGAAGAAAAUAAGCCAUCAUGGGGCCAAAGAAAGUUGCAAGUGCCAGGUUGAUAAAGAAGAAAAUAAGCCAUCAUGGGACCAAAGAAAGUUGCAAGUGCCAGGUUGAUAAAGAAG